UACCCAUGUUGAGGCCAUUUCUGGAGGAGCUCCUUGAACCUACCCCAUGUCCCAAAAAGAGACUCCAAUUCCAUUUGCAUAAAAGCGGUAAUUUCAUUCCUGAGCUU
This is a small nucleolar RNA of Dioscorea cayenensis subsp. rotundata (Guinea yam), 107 nucleotides long. NCBI's taxonomy places the organism in Eukaryota, Viridiplantae, Streptophyta, Magnoliopsida, Dioscoreales, Dioscoreaceae. The record is from RefSeq and is a predicted model, not a curated record.